This 713-nucleotide ribosomal RNA is filed under the name uncultured bacterium. RNAcentral describes it as "bacterial SSU rRNA". It matches the Rfam family "Bacterial small subunit ribosomal RNA", at positions 8 to 730 of the family's 1533-position model. The record is from RNAcentral.
AGAGUUUGAUCCUGGCUCAGGACGAACGCUGGCGGCGUGCUUAACACAUGCAAGUCGAACGAGAUCCAUGGUGUAGCAAUACACCGGAAGAUCUAGUGGCGAACGGGUGAGGAACACGUGAGAAACCUGCCCCAGACUUUGGGAUAACAAGUGGAAACGCUUGCUAAUACCGAAUGACGUCGGAGAACCGCAUGGUUCACUGACGAAAGGAAUUCCGGUUUGGGAGGGUCUCGCGGCCUAUCAGCUUGUUGGUGGGGUAAUGGCCUACCAAGGCAACGACGGGUAGCUGGUCUGAGAGGAUGAUCAGCCACACUGGGACUGAGACACGGCCCAGACUCCUACGGGAGGCAGCAGUGGGGAAUCUUGCGCAAUGGGCGAAAGCCUGACGCAGCAACGCCGCGUGCGGGAUGAAGGCCUUCGGGCUGUAAACCGCUUUCAGCAGGAACGAAAAUGACGGUACCUGCAGAAGAAGGAGCGGCCAACUACGUGCCAGCAGCCGCGGUGACACGUAGGCUCCAAGCGUUGUCCGGAUUUAUUGGGCGUAAAGAGCUCGUAGGCGGUUGAGUAAGUCGGGUGUGAAAACUCUGGGCUUAACCCGGAGACACCAUCCGAUACUGCUCUGACUUGAGUUCAGGAGGGGAGUGGGGAAUUCCUAGCGUAGCGGUGAAAUGCGCAGAUAUUAGGAGGAACACCGGUGGCGAAGGCGCCACUCU